AAAUUGAAGAGUUUGAUCAUGGCUCAGAUUGAACGCUGGCGGCAGGCCUAACACAUGCAAGUCGAACGGUAGCACAGAGAGCUUGCUCUCGGGUGACGAGUGGCGGACGGGUGAGUAAUGUCUGGGAAACUGCCUGAUGGAGGGGGAUAACUACUGGAAACGGUGGCUAAUACCGCAUAACGUCGCAAGACCAAAGAGGGGGACCUUCGAGCCUCUUGCCAUCAGAUGUGCCCAGAUGGGAUUAGCUAGUUGGUGAGGUAACGGCUCACCAAGGCGACGAUCCCUAGCUGGUCUGAGAGGAUGACCAGCCACACUGGAACUGAGACACGGUCCAGACUCCUACGGGAGGCAGCAGUGGGGAAUAUUGCACAAUGGGCGCAAGCCUGAUGCAGCCAUGCCGCGUGUAUGAAGAAGGCCUUCGGGUUGUAAAGUACUUUCAGCGGGGAGGAAGGUGUUGUGGUUAAUAACCGCAGCAAUUGACGUUACCCGCAGAAGAAGCACCGGCUAACUCCGUGCCAGCAGCCGCGGUAAUACGGAGGGUGCAAGCGUUAAUCGGAAUUACUGGGCGUAAAGCGCACGCAGGCGGUCUGUCAAGUCGGAUGUGAAAUCCCCGGGCUCAACCUGGGAACUGCAUUCGAAACUGGCAGGCUUGAGUCUUGUAGAGGGGGGUAGAAUUCCAGGUGUAGCGGUGAAAUGCGUAGAGAUCUGGAGGAAUACCGGUGGCGAAGGCGGCCCCCUGGACAAAGACUGACGCUCAGGUGCGAAAGCGUGGGGAGCAAACAGGAUUAGAUACCCUGGUAGUCCACGCCGUAAACGAUGUCUACUUGGAGGUUGUGCCCUUGAGGCGUGGCUUCCGGAGCUAACGCGUUAAGUAGACCGCCUGGGGAGUACGGCCGCAAGGUUAAAACUCAAAUGAAUUGACGGGGGCCCGCACAAGCGGUGGAGCAUGUGGUUUAAUUCGAUGCAACGCGAAGAACCUUACCUGGUCUUGACAUCCACAGAAGAAUCCAGAGAUGGAUUUGUGCCUUCGGGAACUGUGAGACAGGUGCUGCAUGGCUGUCGUCAGCUCGUGUUGUGAAAUGUUGGGUUAAGUCCCGCAACGAGCGCAACCCUUAUCCUUUGUUGCCAGCGAUUAGGUCGGGAACUCAAAGGAGACUGCCAGUGAUAAA
This 1169-nucleotide ribosomal RNA is filed under the name Salmonella enterica. RNAcentral describes it as "bacterial SSU rRNA". It matches the Rfam family "Bacterial small subunit ribosomal RNA", at positions 1 to 1162 of the family's 1533-position model. The record is from RNAcentral. Lineage: Bacteria; Pseudomonadati; Pseudomonadota; Gammaproteobacteria; Enterobacterales; Enterobacteriaceae.